Molecule: long non-coding RNA, 4436 nt
Filed under: Brassica napus (rape)
Lineage: Eukaryota; Viridiplantae; Streptophyta; Magnoliopsida; Brassicales; Brassicaceae
Description: long non-coding RNA (BNAP_LNC002872)
Source: RNAcentral
CAGCCACAAGCUCAGCCUCCUCCACAAAAGCCUAAAGAUGCUCCCAAAGCCGCCGAGAAGCCUAAGGAGGGCGAGAAGCCUAAGCAGCCUGAAAAGCCCAAAGAGGCUGAAAAGCCGAAGGAAGCUGAGAAGCCUAAGCAAGCAGAGAAGCCCAAAGAAGCCGACAAACCCGCAGCGCCUAAACCCGCACCAGCUCCUGCACAGGCACAGGCACCUGCUCCUGCCCAAAAGCAGCCUGGACCGCCACCACAAGCGAUGCCGAUGAUGUCACAUGGGCAACCAGUAGCGAUGUGUUAUGGGCCAUACUAUGAUGGUUUUGGAGGUGGACCAGCGUUCAGUGGAUACGGAAUGCCGCCGCAGCCGCAACCGUACCAGAGUUAUGGCCGACCUGUGUAUGACAGCUGGGGAGGAGGACCACCACCUAGUUACCGACAAUGCAACCUCAACCGAUGCGAUUACUUCAGCGAAGAGAACCCACAAAGCUGCUCCAUCAUGUGAUAUUACGACUCAUCAUUUCCUUUAUUCCCUCUCUUUGAUACGAAUAAUGAAAAGAAUAUAUAGAGAGAUGUUUACGUGUAAUCUUGUGAUAGGGUCCAUAAGGAAGGAUCGUUGUAUUUUGAAGCUGUAACUGUAAACAUUAUAAGAAAACUGUUUCAUUUUCUUAAAUAUGAAUCAAGAAUAAUAGUAUUUCCCUUUUAUCAAUUAUAGUAUCUAUUUUCUGUGUUGUACCUUAUUCUUAUGAAGCUACUAGUUCUCAUGAAAGUAGAGAGCUGAUUAGGUCUGCUUCUCCUUAGUUCAUGGUUUUUUUCUUUAUUAUCCUCCUAACUUUAAUGAUGAAGGGGUGGCAAAUUUGACUUUUCGUCCUAGUAAGCAUGCUCUAUUGAUUUGUUGUUUCAUUUUACAAGUAAUAUUUAGAACUUCAGACAUUAUUCAUGUCAAACAAGAUAUGUUUUUCAAGUGCUGUUACAUUAGCUGACCGUACUAAAGAAAAAGAGUUAGUGGUCAUAUGAUGGUCCGCACGUUGGUCCAAGAGUUGAAUAUAUAAGUGUAGGAGUCAAGGCAUCGAUCACAAACCACAUCACUACACAAUAUGGGCAUUCACACAUUGCGCUGUAAGAGUGGAAAGAAAGUUAGAGAUGUCUUGUUGGAUGAGAAAGCAGCAGAGAAGGCCAAGAAUCCAUCUCGAGGGACAAGGCGGUGCAUAAAGAUCAUUCUAACAAGAAAGCAGCUCCAGCUGCUACUACUGAAUAGCGUAGAAGGUGUUUCCUUUAAGCUGCCAGAGACUUAUGGUAGCUGCAAGCGGAAAUGGAAGCCAUCUUUGCAGACAAUAGUAGAGGUCGAUAACUAAUGAUGUCCUAGUCUUCAUACUCAGUUUCUGUACAAGUUUGAAUCUCCAUGUAGCUUGCAGCAGAGUAAGCAGAAGUGAGAGAGUUUUGAUAACAACUUAGUCUAGUAGUUGGGUUUUCCCUUGUCGAUCGUGUGAUCUGUAAAGUGUUCAACUUGCAGUUCCUUUUAUGGGUUUGUUAUAUUGAAUUCUUUAAUGUUAAAUCAAUUACUUUUGUGUGGUAAUGACAAAGUUGAUGCCUUUCCAUUGGAAUAUGAUGAAAAGGAAGAAACUUUGCAAAGCGAUUCGAUUCUUGUUCCUUCAUUCUCUUAGUUUUUAAACAAAGUCUUUGUGUUUGGUAAUCAAGAUGAAGAAAAGAGACAAAACCCAUUCCUCGGGACAAAGGCAUCUCCAAUGUCUCAUCCAUCAAUCCUAAAAUGACGAUUAUGCCCCUUCACAUCCUCUAAACCAUGGGGGCUCUUCAUGUCAUUGUAGGUAGAGUAGUUAUGAAUCAUCGGUUAAACUAAUGGUAAACAUUAAAGAAAAGCACCUGAGAACUUGUGUUGAUCAACCAAGCUGACGUUAAAAACCAUCUCAAUCCCCCUUCCUCACAAGCUGCAUUCAUCAUAGUUCUUAGCUUCAACAUAUCUCCUAUCUCUCCCUCUCUCUCUCUGGAUCAACAAGAAAUGGAGAUUCAAGCAAGACUAAUGGAAUACAAGUUCCAUGUCAUGAUCACAAUAAUCGUCAUCGUGGUUCUGUCGUCCCUCGUGUACGCAGCACCAAGAAUCCUCGACAUAUUAGCUUACUUCUGGCCUCUGUUUGCGUCAACGGCCGCCUUCUUAGCCAUGGCAAUCACCUCCGGCGCCUUCCAACAACUCUCAGAUGAAGCUACCGGCGAGGGAAUCAUGGAUUACGUCGCCGGACGGCCUGAAGAUUUUCACUAGUACGAAUGAAAGACAUUACAAUGUACAAAGUUGGUCCCUUUAUGUCAAAUAAAAUGUCACUGACUCAUUGAUUGAUUGUGUAACAAAAUCAAAUAGAUUAUAAGACUAUGCAGAAACAGAGUAUCAAUGACCAUAACAGAGUAUUACUAAUGAAACAGAACAAACUCUCUAGUAUCCAUAAUCAUAAGCGAACUCGUUGACACCAACCAUAGCCGAGACCACUUGCGAGACGAUAUAGAAGCUUCCACCUAAGAUGAUCACAAUGAGAACGGCGGAGAUUGGGUUCUUGAGGAGUUCGAAAAUGGGCUCAAAGACAGCAGAGAGAGCUCCUGUGCUGACGGUGAGAGCGUAAAGACCGUACCUUCUCACGUUGUCCCAAAACUCUUCCAUCAAAGGACCUUCUGGUCCCAAAGCCAACGCCUUUUCUCCGUCCAUUCCCAUCACCAAAGCCACCAUCAACCCUACCGAGACACCAGUCACCAAAGCUUGUCUCAGUUGCUUCUUCUCCAAACCCAAAGUUUGUGUCUUUUCAAGCUUGGUUUUGUUACUUUCCACCGUUAAUCUUCUGCACUGAACGCGGCAUGAUGGCCUGGUGCUUAUGCUUGAGCUCGGAGACACCUUAGCUGCUGGUAAUAAUCUGCUACUGCUCAGAUGGAGAUGAGGUUGCAGAGAAGAUACUUUCAUUUUGGGGAGAGACAUCAUCAUCAUCAUAGUCAUCUCACUUCUUCCUUGUAGUUAGUCUGAUUCUAUCUUUAUAUACUUAAGACUGUGUGGCUCUCCUGUACCUUAUCUUUGCGGAUAAAUCAUUUUUUUAUUUUAUUAUAAACUACAUAUUAUUACACAUAAAUCAAUAGAGCUCACACAUACAUUAUACAAGACAAGCCUUAAAGCUGAGCAAUCCCCUUCUUCACAAGCAUAUCAUAGACUCUGUCUACUUUGGUCGGAUCAAUCUUGAACAGGCUAUAAGCAUCUGACUUCUUUGUAACAUUCCCUUUGAAUAUCUCAUGUGACAUCACUUGCUGCAUCUGUAGAUAAACCGGUGGAACCAACUUGACCUCGCUGCAAAGACGCUUCUCCUGCCAAAAAAAAAUAGACAAACAACUCUCUUCUUUCAGUUACAGCAAUAAAAAAAGAAACUCUAUCUCACGCUUGUUCCAGGUCACUAGACAACUCACGGAUUCAGACAGCAGUUGCGACUCGUUGAACCCAAUCAUGUCCAAGUCGUUCACAUAGCUUGAAGAUGCUUGCACAGGACUGCUCUCUUUCCCUCUGUUCAUCCCUUCUUCGCUCUCUCGCUUCCUCUUCCUCCCUAGAUACCUCUCUGCUUCAGCCGUCGAACGACACCCUGCCAUUUGAGCUUCCUGCUCCGACCAGUCCAACACAAUCUAAGCAACCAAAACGCACAGUUUUGAGAGAGUAGCAAAUGUCCUCCUUACCUUGAGAUCUUUGAGCCGUUUCACCAUGCGGUACUCGCUGACAACACUAUUAAGUAGCUCUUGGUGCUCUUCUUUUGAAUGAAAGCGCAUGAAAACGUCUAAACGGCGGCUCUAUCAAGACCAUCGAGAUCGUCCAGCCACCCAAGCCGCCUCAGCCUCAGCCUCAGCCACAAGCUCAGCCUCCUCCACAAAAGCCUAAAGAUGCUCCCAAAGCCGCCGAGAAGCCUAAGGAGGGCGAGAAGCCUAAGCAGCCUGAAAAGCCCAAAGAGGCUGAAAAGCCGAAGGAAGCUGAGAAGCCUAAGCAAGCAGAGAAGCCCAAAGAAGCCGACAAACCCGCAGCGCCUAAACCCGCACCAGCUCCUGCACAGGCACAGGCACCUGCUCCUGCCCAAAAGCAGCCUGGACCGCCACCACAAGCGAUGCCGAUGAUGUCACAUGGGCAACCAGUAGCGAUGUGUUAUGGGCCAUACUAUGAUGGUUUUGGAGGUGGACCAGCGUUCAGUGGAUACGGAAUGCCGCCGCAGCCGCAACCGUACCAGAGUUAUGGCCGACCUGUGUAUGACAGCUGGGGAGGAGGACCACCACCUAGUUACCGACAAUGCAACCUCAACCGAUGCGAUUACUUCAGCGAAGAGAACCCACAAAGCUGCUCCAUCAUGUGAUAUUACGACUCAUCAUUUCCUUUAUUCCCUCUCUUUGAUACGAAUAAUGAAAAGAAUAUAUAGAGAGAUG